This 673-nucleotide long non-coding RNA is filed under the name Homo sapiens (human). RNAcentral describes it as "HSALNT0013506". Lineage: Eukaryota; Metazoa; Chordata; Mammalia; Primates; Hominidae. The record is from RNAcentral.
CAGGAAACAGGAGUCCAAUCCUUGCCUCCAUGGAGAAGACACAUUUUCUCAGCCUUGAGUGUCUUUGUUACAGGCUGCUGCCAACUCCUGUCCUUUUGCUACACAAGACAAACAGGAGAAUCACUUCGAAGGCUGGAGGACCUGAGAUCUCUCAGCUUCUAGUACAGAUGGACAUGGACUCCUACAAAAUCCUCCCUGCAGAACUCCCUGCCCCCAAAAUUGUCCCUUUCAAUCCAGUCUUCUCACUGUGGCCAGAGGAUUAUUUCCAAAUUUUUGAAAUCUAAUCAUGCCGUUUACUUUCUGCUUAAAAACUCUUACCAAAAAAUAUAUAUUGAAAUAAUAAAUGAUGCAGACCUUGCUUCUUCUGAUCCAGGGACAGAAGAAUGUUGGGGUGAUCAUCUAGUAGUCUUCCUCUGGUUGAGGCCCAAGGAUUAGGAGUCAGGCAAAAUAAACACCAGAUCUUAGCUGAUGGAAGAUUGGUGAAAUUGUAUGAUGUACAGAGUAGGAAUUGGACACUAUGCUAUGUGGAAUAAAUGCAACCAUUCAGAGGAAGCCCAGGACAUCUAAGCCAACUGUGAGGCAGGUUCAGUCAGCUGGGCAAAUAACAGCAACUUCGGCAAGACCAUGUUCCAAUGGCCCAUCAAGGGAUGAGGCUCAGAGGAAGCCUGAAUUA